AAUAUGGGACAAUGGGGGCAACCCUGAUCCAGCCAUGCCGCGUGUGUGAAGAAGGUCUUCGGAUUGUCAAGCACUUUAAGUUGGGAGGAAGGGCUUUAGGUUAAUACCCUGAAGUGUGGACGUUACCAACAGAAUAAGCACCGGCUCACUUUGGGCUAGCAGCCGCCGUAAUUCAGAGGGUGCAAGCGUUAAUCGGAAUUACUGGGCGUAAAGCGCGCGUAGGUGGUUCAGUAAGAUGGGUGUGAAAUCCCCGGGCUUAAUCUGGGAACUGCUUUCAUAACUGCUGAGCUAGAGUACGGUAGAGGGUAGUGGAAUUUCCUGUGUAGCGGUGAAAUGCGUAGGUAUAGGAAGGAACACCAGUGGCGAAGGCGACUACCUGGACUGAUACUGACACUGAGGUGCGAAAGCGUGGGGAGCAAA
This 420-nucleotide ribosomal RNA is filed under the name uncultured bacterium. RNAcentral describes it as "partial 16S ribosomal RNA". It matches the Rfam family "Bacterial small subunit ribosomal RNA", at positions 360 to 772 of the family's 1533-position model. The record is from RNAcentral.